Molecule: ribosomal RNA, 497 nt
Filed under: uncultured bacterium
Lineage: Bacteria
Description: partial 16S ribosomal RNA
Rfam family: Bacterial small subunit ribosomal RNA
Source: RNAcentral
GAUGAACGCUGGCGGCGUUCCUAAUACAUGCAAGUCGAGCGAACAGACGAGGAGCUUGCUCCUCUGACGUUAGCGGCGGACGGGUGAGUAACACGUGGAUAACCUACCUAUAAGACUGGGAUAACUUCGGGAAACCGGAGCUAAUACCGGAUAAUAUAUUGAACCGCAUGGUUCAAUAGUGAAAGACGGUUUUGCUGUCACUUAUAGAUGGAUCCGCGCCGCAUUAGCUAGUUGGUAAGGUAACGGCUUACCAAGGCAACGAUGCGUAGCCGACCUGAGAGGGUGAUCGGCCACACUGGAACUGAGACACGGUCCAGACUCCUACGGGAGGCAGCAGUAGGGAAUCUUCCGCAAUGGGCGAAGGCCUGACGGAGCAACGCCGCGUGAGUGAUGAAGGUCUUCGGAUCGUAAAACUCUGUUAUUAGGGAAGAACAAAUGUGUAAGUAACUAUGCACGUCUUGACGGUACCUAAUCAGAAAGCCACGGCUAACUACGUG